GUGAGUCAUCGAAUCUUUGAACGCACAUUGCGCCUCCUGUAACAGGGAGGCAUGCCUGUCUGAGUCUCAUUUAAUCCCUAAGCCCAUCUGGGUUUGUGCAUGGGCGCUCGCCUCUUGGGCGUCGCCUCAAAGUCAUCUGUCUUAUGAGCGGACGAGAUCCUUUCGGACUGACCGUUUGUGGGACCCAAAAUCUCUGAUUUGAGCUCAGAUCAGGUAGGACUACCGCCUGAACUUAAGCAUAUCAAUAAGCGGAGGA
Molecule: unclassified non-coding RNA, 256 nt
Filed under: Archaeorhizomyces sp.
Lineage: Eukaryota; Fungi; Ascomycota; Archaeorhizomycetes; Archaeorhizomycetales; Archaeorhizomycetaceae
Description: partial contains 5.8S ribosomal RNA, internal transcribed spacer 2, and large subunit ribosomal RNA
Rfam family: 5.8S ribosomal RNA (bases 1-69)
Source: RNAcentral